AGUUUUGGAGAAGUUACUGUGAGCUGCUGAGACGAAGGUGUAUUCUUUGCCUUUAGGAUGAAAUGUUUGUUUCAUAACUUCUGUUAUUUUCACUGUGUCUCUGUUUAGUUUCUGUUUCCAUGAUCUGUCCAUUGCUGAGAGUGGGGUGUUGAGGUCUCUCACUAUUAUUGUGUGAGGUGCAAUGUGCACUUUGAGCUCUAGUAAAGUUUGUAUUAUGAAAAUAGUUGCCCUUGCAUUUGGAGCAUAGGUGUUCAGAAUUGAGAGUUACUUGCUUUUUGUAGUUUGUAAUAUUCAUACAGAAUCUAUGGUGUCUACUUAGUGUUGUUGAUCUGUUUGCUUGUCUCUUUAUAUCUGUUAAUUGGUACUCUUCUUGCAAAUGCAUGCCCCAUUCAAAAGAAUGCAGUGACAUAUGAGGAUGUGCAUGUGAACUUUACUCGGGAAGAAUGGGCUUUGCUGGAUCCUUCCCAGAAGAGUCUCUACAAGGAUGUGAUGCUGGAGACCUACAGGACCCUCAGAGCUAUAGGCUGUUAUUGGGAAGACCACAGUAAUGAAAAUUCUCAAACUUCUAGAAGAAAUGGAAGG
Mus musculus (house mouse) is the source of this 582-nucleotide long non-coding RNA. RefSeq annotates it as predicted gene, 29716. The record is from RefSeq and is a predicted model, not a curated record. The transcript is spliced from 3 exons. Lineage: Eukaryota; Metazoa; Chordata; Mammalia; Rodentia; Muridae.